This 83-nucleotide transfer RNA is filed under the name Candidatus Epulonipiscium sp. RNAcentral's name for it is "tRNA-Leu". It matches the Rfam family "tRNA". From Rfam's summary of the family: Transfer RNA (tRNA) molecules are approximately 80 nucleotides in length. The record is from RNAcentral. Lineage: Bacteria; Bacillati; Bacillota; Clostridia; Lachnospirales; Lachnospiraceae.
GCCGAUGUGAUGGAAUGGCAGACAUGGUAGACUCAAAAUCUACUGGUAGCGAUACCGUGCCGGUUCGAGUCCGGCCAUCGGUA